GGGACACGUGGUAUCCUGUCUGAAUAUGGGGGGACCAUCCUCCAAGGCUAAAUACUCCUGACUGACCGAUAGUGAACCAGUACCGUGAGGGAAAGGCGAAAAGAACCCCGGCGAGGGGAGUGAAAAAGAACCUGAAACCGUGUACGUACAAGCAGUGGGAGCACGCUUAGGCGUGUGACUGCGUACCUUUUGUAUAAUGGGUCAGCGACUUAUAUUCUGUAGCAAGGUUAACCGAAUAGGGGAGCCGAAGGGAAACCGAGUCUUAACUGGGCGUUAAGUUGCAGGGUAUAGACCCGAAACCCGGUGAUCUAGCCAUGGGCAGGUUGAAGGUUGGGUAACACUAACUGGAGGACCGAACCGACUAAUGUUGAAAAAUUAGCGGAUGACUUGUGGCUGGGGGUGAAAGGCCAAUCAAACCGGGAGAUAGCUGGUUCUCCCCGAAAGCUAUUUAGGUAGCGCCUCGUGAAUUCAUCUCCGGGGGUAGAGCACUGUUUCGGCAAGGGGGUCAUCCCGACUUACCAACCCGAUGCAAACUGCGAAUACCGGAGAAUGUUAUCACGGGAGACACACGGCGGGUGCUAACGUCCGUCGUGAAGAGGGAAACAACCCAGACCGCCAGCUAAGGUCCCAAAGUCAUGGUUAAGUGGGAAACGAUGUGGGAAGGCCCAGACAGCCAGGAUGUUGGCUUAGAAGCAGCCAUCAUUUAAAGAAAGCGUAAUAGCUCACUGGUCGAGUCGGCCUGCGCGGAAGAUGUAACGGGGCUAAACCAUGCACCGAAGCUGCGGCAGCGACACUAUGUGUUGUUGGGUAGGGGAGCGUUCUGUAAGCCUGUGAAGGUGUACUGUGAGGUAUGCUGGAGGUAUCAGAAGUGCGAAUGCUGACAUAAGUAACGAUAAAGCGGGUGAAAAGCCCGCUCGCCGGAAGACCAAGGGUUCCUGUCCAACGUUAAUCGGGGCAGGGUGAGUCGACCCCUAAGGCGAGGCCGAAAGGCGUAGUCGAUGGGAAACAGGUUAAUAUUCCUGUACUUGGUGUUACUGCGAAGGGGGGACGGAGAAGGCUAUGUUGGCCGGGCGACGGUUGUCCCGGUUUAAGCGUGUAGGCUGGUUUUCCAGGCAAAUCCGGAAAAU
Molecule: ribosomal RNA, 1127 nt
Filed under: Escherichia coli
Lineage: Bacteria; Pseudomonadati; Pseudomonadota; Gammaproteobacteria; Enterobacterales; Enterobacteriaceae
Description: partial 23S ribosomal RNA
Rfam family: Bacterial large subunit ribosomal RNA
Source: RNAcentral